This 1134-nucleotide long non-coding RNA is filed under the name Scophthalmus maximus (turbot). Its description in RNAcentral is "lncRNA (ENSSMAG00000033310.1)". The record is from RNAcentral. Lineage: Eukaryota; Metazoa; Chordata; Actinopteri; Pleuronectiformes; Scophthalmidae.
UCAUCAUCGUCACCUCAUCAUCAUCGUCAUCGUCACGAUCAUCAUCAUCAUCAUCAUUGUUAUCACCUUCAAGAUCAUCGUCGUUAUCAUCGUCAUCAUCAUCAUCACCUUCAUCAUCGUCAUCAUCAUCAUCGUCGUCAUCAUCUUCAUCAUAAUCAUCAUCGUCGUCAUCAUCAUCAUCGUCGUCAUUAUCAGCGUUAUCAUCGUCAUCGUCACCAUCAUCAUCAUCGUCAUCGUCAUUGUCAUCGUCAUCGUCAUCAUCACCAUCAUCAUCAUUAUCAUCAUCAUCGUUAUCAUUGUCAACAUCAUCAUCAUUGUCGUCAUCAUCAUCAUCAUCGUUAUCAUCGUCAUCAUCAGCGUAAUCAACAUCAUCAUCAUCGUCGUUAUCAUUGUCAUCAUCAUCAUCAUCAUCGUUGUUAUCACCAUCAUCUUCGUCGUUAUCAUCGUCAUCAUCAUCAUCACCAUCAUCAUCGUCAUCAUCAGCGUUAUCAUCAUCGUUAUCAUCAUCAUCUUCAUCAUCAUCAACAUCGUCAUCAUCAUCAACAUCGUCAUCAUCAUCAUCAUCAUCAUCAUCGUCGUCAUCAUCUUCAUCAUAAUCAUCAUCUUCGUCAUCAUCAUUGUUAUCAUUGUCAUUGUCAUUGUAACAUCAUCAUCAUCAUCGUUUUCAUCGUCAUCGUCAUCAUCGUUAUCACCAUCAUCAUCAUCGUCAUUAUCAUCAUCAUCAUCAUCGUUAUCAUUGUCAUCAUCAUCGUUGUCAUCAUCAUCAUCAUCAUCAUCGUAAUCAUCGUCGUCAUCAUCAUCAUCAUCAUCGUUUUCAUCGUCAUCGUCAUCAUCGUUAUCACCAUCAUCAUCAUCGUCGUUAACAUUGUCAUCAUCAUUGUCAUCGUCAUCAUCGUUAUCACCAUCAUCAUCAUCGUCGUCAUCAUCAUCAUCAUCGUUAUCAUCGUCAUCGUCACCAUCAUUGUCAUCAUCAUCAUCGUCAUUAUCAUUGUCAUCAUCAUCAUCAUCAUCAUCAUCAUCGUUAUCACCACCAUCAUCAUCAUCGUUGUCAUCAUCAUCAUCAUCGUUAUCAUCGUCAUCAUCAUUGCCAUCAUCGUCAUCAUCAUCAUCACGUCGUCAUUAUCGACCAGCUGA